CGGACGGGNGAGUAACGCGUGAGGAACCUGCCCAUAAGAGGGGGAUAAUCCAUGGAAACGUGGACUAAUACCGCAUAUUGUAGUUAAGUUGCAUGACUUGAUUAUGAAAGAUUUAUCGCUUAUGGAUGGACUCGCGUCAGAUUAGAUAGUUGGUGAGGUAACGGCCCACCAAGGCGACGAUCGGUAGCCGGACUGAGAGGUUGAACGGCCACAUUGGGACUGAGACACGGCCCAGACUCCUACGGGAGGCAGCAUG
RNAcentral lists this ribosomal RNA (256 nucleotides) under uncultured bacterium. RNAcentral describes it as "partial 16S ribosomal RNA". It matches the Rfam family "Bacterial small subunit ribosomal RNA", at positions 99 to 353 of the family's 1533-position model. The record is from RNAcentral.